Molecule: ribosomal RNA, 117 nt
Filed under: Pteropus alecto (black flying fox)
Lineage: Eukaryota; Metazoa; Chordata; Mammalia; Chiroptera; Pteropodidae
Source: RNAcentral
GUCAGUGGCCACGCCGCCCUGAACACGCCUGAUCCCGUCUGAUCUCAAGCCAAGCAGGGUCGGGCCUGGUUAGUACUUGGAUGGCAGACCACCUAGGAAGACCAGGGGCUGCAGGUU